Molecule: non-coding RNA, 912 nt
Organism: Coturnix japonica (Japanese quail)
Lineage: Eukaryota; Metazoa; Chordata; Aves; Galliformes; Phasianidae
Source: RefSeq, a predicted model, not a curated record
UCUAUGGGUCCAAAGUCCAUCUAUGGGUCAAUCUAUGGGUCCCAGGUCAAUCUAUGGGUCCAAGGUCAAUCUAUGGGUCCGAGCUCCCACUUUGUGUCAAUCUAUGGGUCCGAAGUCCAUCUAUGGGUCAAUCUAUGGGUCCCAGCUCCAUCUAUGGGUCAAUCUAUGGGUCCCAGGUCCAUCUAUGGGUCCGAAGUCCAUCUAUGAGUCAAUCUAUGGGUCAAUCUAUGGGUCCCAGGUCCAUCUAUGGGUCCCAGGUAAAUCUAUGGGUCCAAAGUCCAUCUAUGGGUCAAUCUAUGGGUCCCAGCUCCAUCUAUGGGUCAAUCUAUGGGUCCCAGGUCCAUCUAUGGGUCAAUCUAUGGGUCCCAGGUCCCCCUAUGGCUGUCCCUCGCACCACUCCCUGGCAUUGAGGAACAUCUUUAACCACGGCGCCGCCCCCCCUUUGGCCGCCCCAUUUUCCCCCCCCCAUUUGGGCCCCACAUCGGCCCCACAUCUCCCCCCCCACUUAUGGGGCCAAUAACCCCAUUGCCAACGUAAAACCCCCCGUUCUGGAUGGGGCAUAACAGCCAAAUGGCGACCGCACGGGGACAAGAUGGCCGCCACCCCCCCCGGGGAUCCAUUGGGGUUCAUGGGGUAACGUUGGGUCGGCCGACCCCCGUCGUCCACGUACAGUAAUGGCGUCAGGCCGGCUUCCUGUAGGACCGGAAGUGAAGAGGGGCGGCGGAAACGGAAACGGCCUAAACAGGAAGUGGAGGAGAUGGUAAAGAUGGCGGCUGAGUGACUUCCUGUUAGAACAGGAAGUAGGAAGUGGCCUAAACAGGAAGUGGAGGAGGGGGUAAAGAUGGCGGCUGAGUGACUUCCUGUUAGAACAGGAAGUAGGAAGUGGCCUAAACAGGAAGUGGAGGAGGGGGG